GAUGAACGCUGGCGGCGUGCCUAAUACAUGCAAGUCGAGCGAACAGACGAGGAGCUUGCUCCUUUGAUGUUAGCGGCGGACGGGUGAGUAACACGUAGGUAACCUACCUAUAAGACUGGGAUAACUUCGGGAAACCGGAUCUAAUACCGGAUAAUAUUUCGAACCGCAUGGUGCGAUAGUGAAAGUUGGCUUUGCUAUCACUUAUAGAUGGACCUGCGCCGUAUUAGCUAGUUGGUAAGGUAACGGCUUACCAAGGCAACGAUACGUAGCCGACCUGAGAGGGUGAUCGGCCACCCUGGAACAGAGACACGGUCCAGACUCCUACGGUAGGCAGCAGUAGGGAAUCUUCCGCAAUGGACGAAAGCCUGACAGAGCAACGCCGCGUGAAUGAUGAAGGUCUUCGGAUCGUAAAACUCUGUUAUUAGGGAAGAACAAACGUGUAAGUAACUGUGCACGUCUUGACGGUACCUAAUCAGAAAGCCACGGCUAACUACGUG
RNAcentral lists this ribosomal RNA (497 nucleotides) under uncultured bacterium. RNAcentral describes it as "partial 16S ribosomal RNA". It matches the Rfam family "Bacterial small subunit ribosomal RNA", at positions 28 to 507 of the family's 1533-position model. The record is from RNAcentral.